UGCCCACAUCAAAUUUGACUGCUGCUCUUC
This 30-nucleotide non-coding RNA is filed under the name Mus musculus (house mouse). The record is from RNAcentral. Lineage: Eukaryota; Metazoa; Chordata; Mammalia; Rodentia; Muridae.